GCAUAUGGAUAUUUUCUUCAAAAUAGGUUUAUGUGGAAGCAUCCAAAGAAGAGAGGGAAAGCACCGCAAUAAGUGAUAUGCAAUUUGGAAGCUCAACAAAAGAUUAUUAAGAAAUUUUAUGAAAUCUUAUGGGCACAACAUUGAGGCAUUGAGGCAUUUGGGCAAUAUUUACUAAAUUGAAAGAAAAUAUUGGUAGAAGGGUAUGGACAAAGAUGUAGUAAAUUUUGUAAGAUCUUAUGAGACUUAUCAAGUAUAUUCAAACAUUUGACAUUGAAAUGGAUUACAUCCAAUAUAUCCUCUAGCUUUACAUUAUAAGUAGGUAGUAGAUUUAAUAGCAAUGCUUAUCAGAUUUAG
Molecule: long non-coding RNA, 354 nt
Filed under: Physcomitrium patens
Lineage: Eukaryota; Viridiplantae; Streptophyta; Bryopsida; Funariales; Funariaceae
Description: long non-coding RNA (PPAT_LNC006552)
Source: RNAcentral